Long non-coding RNA from Pungitius pungitius (ninespine stickleback), 1255 nucleotides. RefSeq lists it as uncharacterized. NCBI's taxonomy places the organism in Eukaryota, Metazoa, Chordata, Actinopteri, Perciformes, Gasterosteidae. The record is from RefSeq and is a predicted model, not a curated record. The transcript is spliced from 3 exons.
CUGUCCCAUAGAUAAGAACCAACCUCCGUGGACCUCUCAUACCCUUGCAUGCAUGUGUAUUCUUGUGAAGGUUCUAUAUUUACAUCAAUCUUUAAAUAUCUCUGAUGGUCGCCCUGCAAAUGAGGAUGAGUCCAAGUGUACAUUGUUGUGUGCUUGUGUGUGUGUGUGUAAUGUGUGUGGGAGUAUAAGUGCGUGUGCUUGUGUGUGAUGUGAGGGAGAUUUCUCUGUAAAGAGAUGACUGUCAGUGUUCAGCAGUGGAUCGAUAGUAAAGGAUGAAGCUUCUACUGAGCAGUGUGCUACUCGCCUUCUUCUGUGCACGCUCGAGUGUUUCAUCUGCCGGUGAAUCUGCUGUUAGGCAGAGCCAUGAUGUCUCUGUGCUGGAGGGGGAGACGGUAGAGAUCACCUGCUGCUGGACACUAGAGUAUGAAAGAGGGAGAGUUAAUUGGCAGAAAAAUAAAACAGAGUUAACGAGGAAACAGAUGAUCUUCAAGAAUUACUCUUAUGGAUCACUGCAAAAUAAGACGUCUAACUGCUCACAACUGACCUUAAUGCAUGUCACAAGAGGCGAUUCAGGGACAUACAUCUGCAAGGUGAGAGUGGAAAUACCCAGUCUCAAUGAGGUGCUAGGAAAUGGUACCGUCCUCACAAUCACUGCCAAGGACAUCACAGGUAUGGUGACACAACACCCGUGGCAUUACAGUGUUGCAUAAAGGGUUUGCCAAUGGAUGAGGACAAAAUGUGAUGAAAAACAAAGACAGUAUAUAUUAUAUACAGUCAUGGCCAAGGACAACACAGAGCAGGGUAGGUCACUGUUGCCCCAUUAGGUGCUGUACGUACGCCCUGUUAUAUAUGUAGUUUAAGCUGGUUGCCUCUGUGGUUACGUUUCAGGUUCUCAAAAAGUGCUUGCUCAUGUCCUGAGGAGCCUGCCCCUCCUUGCCCUCAUCAUCACCGUGUUCUCCAUCCACAUUUUAGUGAGGAAAGCUCAGCAACAAACACCAGCUGCGCCGCAAAAUCUACACACGACGGCUCAAAGAGGAAAAGAAAACGAAGAGGAAGUGGAAAGAGAUAAUAUGGAGAUAGAAGCAGUGAGAAGGACCAAGGCCAUACAAAAGAAUCAUUCAUGAUUAAGACAAAUUAAAUGUAAUAAAUGUGCACCGUUUCUCUAUUUCUGUGUUUCCUUUCACUCAGCUGUGUUCCUGAAAGCAUGCCAUUAAAAUCAAUGGUUACGGGGCCAGUGUCAUUUUUUCCCCCGGAU